CCUACGGGUGGCAGCAGUGGGGAAUAUUGGGCAAUGGGCGCAAGCCUGACCCAGCAACGCCGCGUGAAGGAAGAAGGCUUUCGGGUUGUAAACUUCUUUUCUCAGGGACGAAGCAAGUGACGGUACCUGAGGAAUAAGCCACGGCUAACUACGGGCCAGCAGCCGCGGUAAUACGUAGGUGGCAAGCGUUAUACGGAUUUACUGGGUGUAAAGGGCGUGUAGGCGGGAAAGCAAGUCAGAUGUGAAAACCAUGGGCUCAACCUGUGGCCUGCAUUUGAAACUGUUUUUCGUGAGUACGGGAGAGGCAGACGGAAUUCCUAGUGUAGCGGUGAAAUGCGUAGAUAUUAGGAGGA
This 353-nucleotide ribosomal RNA is filed under the name uncultured bacterium. Its description in RNAcentral is "partial 16S ribosomal RNA". It matches the Rfam family "Bacterial small subunit ribosomal RNA", at positions 338 to 705 of the family's 1533-position model. The record is from RNAcentral.